RNAcentral lists this ribosomal RNA (467 nucleotides) under uncultured bacterium. RNAcentral describes it as "partial 16S ribosomal RNA". It matches the Rfam family "Bacterial small subunit ribosomal RNA", at positions 28 to 506 of the family's 1533-position model. The record is from RNAcentral.
GACGAACGCUGGCGGCGUGCUUAACACAUGCAAGUCGAACGGAAAGGCCCUGCUUUUGUGGGGUGCUCGAGUGGCGAACGGGUGAGUAACACGUGAGUAACCUGCCCUUGACUUUGGGAUAACUUCAGGAAACUGGGGCUAAUACCGGAUAGGAGCUCCUGCUGCAUGGUGGGGGUUGGAAAGUUUCGGCGGUUGGGGAUGGACUCGCGGCUUAUCAGCUUGUUGGUGGGGUAGUGGCUUACCAAGGCUUUGACGGGUAGCCGGCCUGAGAGGGUGACCGGCCACAUUGGGACUGAGAUACGGCCCAGACUCCUACGGGAGGCAGCAGUGGGGAAUAUUGCACAAUGGGCGGAAGCCUGAUGCAGCAACGCCGCGUGCGGGAUGACGGCCUUCGGGUUGUAAACCGCUUUCGCCUGUGACGAAGCGUGAGUGACGGGAAUGGGUAAAGAAGCACCGGCUAACUACGG